GAGGGUAGAGCUCAGUGGUAGAAUGUGUGCUUAGCAUGCACAUGGUCCUGGGUUCAAUCCUCAGUAUCUCCA
RNAcentral lists this transfer RNA (72 nucleotides) under Camelus bactrianus (Bactrian camel). It matches the Rfam family "tRNA". Rfam says of the family: Transfer RNA (tRNA) molecules are approximately 80 nucleotides in length. Their secondary structure includes four short double-helical elements and three loops (D, anti-codon, and T loops). RNAcentral also lists the same sequence under 2 other names. Lineage: Eukaryota; Metazoa; Chordata; Mammalia; Artiodactyla; Camelidae. The record is from Rfam by way of RNAcentral.